AAUUGCAAACAUAGGCGCAAUAAGCCAAGAAGGCACAUGGCCUAAUCCAGGGUCCAUUAGCUAGUUGUUGUGAAAGCCAGGGGGAAACAAAACUUGGGCCCAAACGCAAGAGAAAAAUGAAGCCAAAGGCGAUGAAAUUCAGAGGUUCCAAAUCAACAUGUGCCCAAACUCAGUCACUUUUCUCACAUUUUUCUCAUGGUCAGAUUCAAAGUCAAACAUCCAAAAUUUCCUCUCGGCUGAGAUUUUCCUCCACCGCGCCAGAGGUUGUCUCCAGCGGCAGAGGCACCUAAAUACUAACAACCAAAUACAUCAUAUAAACCAGUUUCAUGCCCUGAGUCCGAAUCUGAAGUCUGAAAUUCCUAAUUCCUUGACAAUAAAAUGGAUCGAAGCAAAUUGAUGGGAGAACCAUAGCAAUUUAAGCAUAAAUUUAAUGGAAACCUCUCGAAAUAAAAUCCCUCAGGGUUAGGGAUUUGAUUCCCCUAACCGAACCUCACAUAUUAGUAACAAGAGCGGAGUAAAUGGCUAUGAAAAUCAAGAACUCGCCGGAGAAGACGCAGAGCACCUGAAUCUGUUAUGCAGGGUUAAUGCAUGUUGUGGUUGAAUUAUGCGAGUAGAAUGCUUUGUCAUGAGCUGGUUACUUGGAAGAUGUCAACAUGGCUUUGUUGAAGUGAGAUUGUGUGAGUUCAUGGACUAUGUUGCAGCUGACUUGGGAUACAUGUUAAUGGGACCAUUGAAGUGUAGGGCUAGGUUUAAUGCUUAGGAACUUUAUGUUAUGGUUUUUUUUAGGGAAUGGAAUUUUAUGGAAUGUAAGAUUGUGAUGUACUUAUUUCUAUGAACUUGUAUAUUUGAAUGGAAAAUGUACAUUGUAUUGAAUUUGUUAAUGUGAAGUUAUUUAUGGAUGAAA
This is a long non-coding RNA of Lathyrus oleraceus (garden pea), 904 nucleotides long. RefSeq lists it as uncharacterized. The transcript has 2 exons. The record is from RefSeq and is a predicted model, not a curated record. NCBI's taxonomy places the organism in Eukaryota, Viridiplantae, Streptophyta, Magnoliopsida, Fabales, Fabaceae.